Long non-coding RNA from Oncorhynchus tshawytscha (Chinook salmon), 1980 nucleotides. The record is from Ensembl. Lineage: Eukaryota; Metazoa; Chordata; Actinopteri; Salmoniformes; Salmonidae.
CCUGACUAAUUGACUAUCGCCCUGUAGCACUCACAUCUGUAAUGAUGGAGUGCUUUGAAAGGCAGGUCAUGACACACAUCUACACUAGAGGCUCCCCACUGCCCUCUCCCAUCUGGACAAGAGGCUCCCCACUGCCCUCUCCCAUCUGGACUAGAGGCUCCCCACUGCCCUCUCCCAUCUGGACAAGAGGCUCCCCACUGCCCUCUCCCACCUGGACAAGAGGCUCCCCACUGCCCUCUCCAAUCUGGACAAGAGGCUCCCCACUGCCCUCUCCAAUCUGGACAAGAGGCUCCCCACUGCCCUCUCCCAUCUGGACAAGAUCCUGGACUUCCUGAUGGGCCGCCCCCAUAUGGUGAGGAAAGGCAACAACACAUCCGCCACACAGAUCCUCAACCCAGGGGCCCCUCAGUUCCCUCCUGUACUCCCUGUUCACCAACGACUGCAUGGCCCUGCGACCGGGAGACCUGUGAGGCGACGCACUAUUGGCCCAGCGUCAUCCGGCUUAAGGGUGGAUGUACUGGCCGGUGAAAGACAGCUCCACAUUGAUCUGGUACUGGUACUCCCUGUAUAUAGCUCCACAUUGAUCUGGUACUUCCUGUAUAUAGCGCCACAUUGAUCUGGUACUUCCUGUAUACAGCUCCACAUUGAUCUGGUACUUCCUGUAUAUAGCUCCACAUUGAUCUGGUACUUCCUGUAUACAGCUCCACAUUGAUCUGGUACUUCCUGUAUAUAGCUCCACAUUGAUCUGGUACUGGUACUCCCUGUAUAUAGCUCAGGUCAGGGGUCAGGGUUAGCUGUAUGACGCCUACCUCAGGUCAGGGGUCAGGGUUAGCUGUAUGAAGCCUGCCUCAGGUCAGGGGUCAGGGUUAGCUGUAUGAAGUCUACCUCAGGUCAGGGGUCAGGGUUAGCUGUAUGACGCCUACCUCAGGUCAGGGGUCAGGGUUAGCUGUAUGACGCCUACCUCAGGUCAAGGGUCAGGGGUCAGGGUUAGCUGUAUGAAGCCUACCUCAGGUCAGGGGUCAGGGUUAGCUGUAUGAAGUCUACCUCAGGUCAGGGGUCAGGGUUAGCUGUAUGACGCCUACCUCAGGUCAAGGGUCAGGGGUCAGGGUUAGCUGUAUGAAGCCUACCUCAGGUCAGGGGUCAGGGUUAGCUGUAUGAAGCCUACCUCAGGUCAGGGGUCAGGGUUAGCUGUAUGACACCUACCUCAGGUCAGGGGUCAGGGUUAGCUGUAUGAAGCCUACCUCAGGUCAGGGUUAGCUGUAUGAAGCCUACCUCAGGUCAGGGGUCAGGGUUAGCUGUAUGAAGCCUACCUCAGGUCAGGGGUCAGGGUUAGCUGUAUGAAGCCUACCUCAGGUCAGGGGUCAGGGUUAGCUGUAUGAAGCCUACCUCAGGCCAGGGGUCAGGGUUAGCUGUAUGAAACCUACCUCAGGUCAGGGGUCAGGGUUAGCUGUAUGAAGCCUACCUCAGGUCAGGGGUCAGGGUUAGCUGUAUGAAGCCUACCUCAGGCCAGGGGUCAGGGUUAGCUGUAUGAAACCUACCUCAGGUAGGUCUGUGGUUCUUGCUGUGAUGCGUGGCAUGUUGUCCAGCCAGGCCUUGCGUAGCUCGGGCGUGGAGGCGUAGGACUUGGCCAGACUGCUGCAGGUCAACUAAUAUCUCCGGGUCAUCCUCAUGCUCCUUCAUGACAUCAGAACCAUACGGAUCUGCUUUUUCAGGUCUGUCAAAACACCCGGGAACACAGUGUGCUGCAGACAGGGAGAGACGGAUAGGGUUUAAUCUUGACCAUAAACCGGGAACACCGUGUGCUGGAGAGCGAGAGGGCAGAGAGCUGCCCAGAGCUGACAAACACUGGUGCUGGAGGGGGAGAGGGAAGAGUACAAGACAGAAACAGACAGGUUAGUACGUGACAGAUCAGAGGUCAGCUGGGUCAGCAGGAACAGACAGGUUAGUACGUGACAGAUCAGAGUUCAGCUGGGUCAGGAG